GGUUAAAAAGCUCGUAGUUGGAUCUCGGCGGGCAGGGGGUGGUUCGCUCUUCAGCGCUACUGCCCCGCUUUGCCCGUGUGAUUGGCGGAGGUUUCGGGGUGCUCUUCGUUGAGUGACUCGGAGCGCCGUCAGGUUUACUUUGAAAAAAUUAGAGUGCUCAAAGCAGGCUUUUCACGCUUGAAUAUUCGUGCAUGGAAUAAUGGAAUAGGAACUCGUUUCUAUUUUGUUGGUUUUCGGAAAUCGAGUUAAUGAUUAACAGGGACAAUUGGGGGCAUUAGUAUUCAGACGACAGAGGUGAAAUUCUUGGACCGUCUGAAGACUGACUACUGCGAAAGCAUUUGCCAAGAGUGUUUUCAUUAAUCAAGAACGAAAGUUAGAGGUUCGAAGGCGAUCAGAUACCGCCCUAGUUCUAACCAUAAACGAUGCCAGCUAGCGAUCUGCCGAGUUUUUUUUGUAGGCUCCGCAGGAAGCUUUCGGGAAACCAAAGCUUUUGGGUUCCGGGGGAAGUAUGGUUGCAAAGCUGAAACUUAAAGGAAUUGACGGAAGGGCACCACCAGGAGUGGAGCCUGCGGCUUAAUUUGACUCAACACGGGAAAUCUCACCAGGCCCGGACACUGGAAGGAUUGACAGAUUGAGAGCUCUUUCUCGAUUCGGUGGGUGGUGGUGCAUG
This 670-nucleotide ribosomal RNA is filed under the name uncultured marine eukaryote. Its description in RNAcentral is "SSU rRNA". It matches the Rfam family "Eukaryotic small subunit ribosomal RNA", at positions 617 to 1286 of the family's 1831-position model. The record is from RNAcentral.